RNAcentral lists this long non-coding RNA (976 nucleotides) under Marmota monax (woodchuck). Lineage: Eukaryota; Metazoa; Chordata; Mammalia; Rodentia; Sciuridae. The record is from RNAcentral.
GUGUCUAGAACUAGUUAUCUGUAGGGAUUGCCUCAGGACCACAGAGAAGACUCAAGUGCCAGACAAUCUAAUGUCACCAAGAUAAGUGAGAACAUAUUAUUUUAAUAUGCUUUCUUCCUACCUGUCAUUUAUGCAAACUUGUUUUAGUAUCCAAUCUAAAAUCAUACUUGGUUUACCUCUCAUUUAGUAUAGAUUAUAAACCCCAGCAAAUGUGUAGAUUACAUUUAUCGCGUAAUGCUUUCUCCUGUGCUAAUCAUUUUGAAUAUUCAAUAAACUCUACUUGAGCAACUGAUGGCAUGAGUAACAUGAAACCCACAACAAAGGAAAGUUGUUUCAGCUAGCCACACAUCAUCUUAAAGGCCUAUCGUUUUUUAAAAUAGAUGGCAUUUCAUUUUGGAUUUCUGGAUUUCUUGAUUCUAUUAUGGACUAAAAUUCUAAAAGCAAUAGCAAAAAAAAAAAAAAAAAAAUCCCAGAAAAACGUGUUAUUGUCUCAACCACAACUCUUAUCAGAACAAAACUUGGUGACCUUUAGAACUUUGACAGUUUCAAUAAGUAUAUCAAAAAUACUUCUGAAGAAGUUAUAACACUAAAUCAGAGCAGUAUGAAUGUGGAAAUUCCUAUAAUCUAAAAAAAAAAAAAGAAGACUUAAAAAAAAUAACUUAAGAGUGUAUCACACACAUGCUUCAGAAUAAUGAUAAAUACAACAUUUAAAGAAGACUUCAAAAUUAGAUGCCAUUUCCAAUUCCUGAGUCAAUGGCCUGACCGCUCAGCUACUGUAUUAAAAUGUUAGACGGGGAUAACCAGCAUGUCUGGGUCAUCCAAACUUUUCUAGAUAUUUAAGUUUCCACAUUUGAAAGAAACACAGCCGCGUUAUCUAAAUAGACAAGUCUUAUAAUUUCAAAGUUCAAGUCCACACAUAACACAAAAGAGAGAAUUACAGCUACAUUAGUGGUUUGCCACAACUCCAUAACUAAGC